UACGAAGGGUGCAAGCGUUACUCGGAAUUACUGGGCGUAAAGCGUGCGUAGGUGGUCUUUUAAGUCCGUUGUGAAAGCCCUGGGCUCAACCUGGGAAUGGCAGUGGAUACUGGAAGGCUGGAGUACGGUAGAGGAGGGUGGAAUUCCGGGUGUAGCGGUGGAAUGCGUAGAGAUCCGGAAGAACACCGGUGGCGAAGGCGGCCUGCUGGGCAGUAGCUGACGCUGAUGCGCGACAGCGUGGGGAGCAAACAGG
This 253-nucleotide ribosomal RNA is filed under the name uncultured bacterium. Its description in RNAcentral is "partial 16S ribosomal RNA". It matches the Rfam family "Bacterial small subunit ribosomal RNA", at positions 524 to 776 of the family's 1533-position model. The record is from RNAcentral.